GGCAGACUGGUCAGGACUCUGCCAGGAGGACUGAAACCAGGGACCCUGAGCUGAGAAAGGGUUCUGGGAGGUGCCUGCCGGAGGCCCACUGGGGUGCUCUUCAGAGACCUGCUUCUCCCCUCCCCCAGCAGAAAUCAGUCUCUGACCAGCUGUCACCUCAGUGUCCCCACGCCACCAGAGAGGCUUAGGGUGGGGUCCACUGGCUGAGUCUAGGCCCCAGGCCACACCCUGGAGGAGAAGCAGUCCAGAUGCCAGCUGUUCAGGUGUCCAAGUUUCGUUACCUCCCAACACUGUCUUGGCACGCUGGUCCUCAGAAGAGAUUGCAGUUGGGGUUUCCCUCUCUGCAGACCGCAUUGUCAGGGAGGAUGAGGAAGGAACAUCCAGGGAGUGUGUCCGUGUUCCCGCAGAAGGAACAUGUGCAUAUGCAACAAUCACAGGAGGUGGAAGGCUGCAGAGGGAAAGGAGGUCGUCUGGAGCCUGGCUCCUGGUCCCUCCCUGAACUCCCCGUCAAGAGCCACUCUCAGAGGACUCUGCCCAGGUUGGCAGUGUCACCCCAUUCCUUCUCUGAUGGAAUAUUUAAAUUAAAAAGAAACAUAUUAAAAGUGUGUUGCAAGUGACAACAGGAGGGAUUCAAGAUGACAGCAUGAGAGCCCCUCACCGUGCCGGGGCCUCCCACCCAUCUCUCCACAAGACGGGGACAUGAUCUGAACCUUGGACUCCCUCUCUUCAAGUGGCCACGGUCCUGGAGCCCCAUCUUCUGGGAGGUGCAUCCUGCAGUGUCCAGCCUGAUCUUGGUCCUGAGCCUCAGACCGAAACCCAUAUCCUGGAGCAGAGCUGUCAGUCCCCAGGGACCUGCUCUCGCCCUGGACCCCAGCUCAGUGAGUGGCACAGCCCCCUCAGUGGCUCAGGUCAGCCCUGGAGUCCCACAUGGCUCUUGCCUUCCCUCUAGCCCUACCUAGACCCUCAGCAGCCCCACCUACCCCCAGUGUUCCCCUGCUUCCCCAUGGACCAGCUGCUGCCCUUGUCCUGCUGGCUGCCCAGCCGCCUUCACUGGAGGUCCCCCUGGAGCCCUGGAGACAUCCAGUGGUUUGUUGGUGGUCACAGAGCUGUAAGGGGACAGGGGCGGCCUGGGAUCUGCCUCAUUCUGGCUCUGGGACAGGGACACCUGACCGCAAAACCCAUUCCCCCAGCUUGCAAGGCAGUAGAUAGCCUGGGAGUGCUGGGUACUCGCUACAGGCUUUGCCUACUGGUGGGUCUGUGAGGACAGGGACUGGUAGUUCCUUCUCUCCAUCCCAACAUCUCGAGGGCCAGUGUUGAGGACAUCUGCUCUGGAGGAAUGUGCGAGGGGGCUCUUAGGACUGGUCUGCCCCUCCCACCUCCCAUGGGUCCAUCCUGGGCUCCUUCAUGGCAGGAGAGAGCCUUGCCCAGCCCUGCCUCCCAGGCCUCUAACAGAACCAGAGGAUGCAGGAUUCCUGCCAUGCACCUUACCUGCAGCAGGCUGCACACAGGCUUCCACCUGUCAGGGGCAGGCGCCUGAACAGAGGCAGGCAAGUAUUCAGAGCUAAGGGUGGUUGGAGACAUGCAGGGGGUGACCCCUGAGUUGCCUCAGGGGUGAAUGGGAGCUUCUCAGUGUCAGGGGAAGCCAGGUGGAGGGCACAGCCAGGCCUGAAGUUGGGACUGUCCAGCCAGGUCUGGUGAUGGCCAAACUCUUUGCUCUAAAGUACUCCGGUGGGCAGUGAAGGGUCAUAGGACAGGGUGAGGCAGGAGAAAUCAUUCCAGAAAGGUCCCCGCUGCCUCCCCCUACCACUGGUUGAGACUGAUUUGCAGACCAGAGUUCCUCCCUUUCCCCGUGCCCCUGUGAGUCCGCCCCACUAGCCACCAUCCCUAAGGGGGCAGGCUCCCCACCGCAGCCCACCACAGCCCAGGGGCCACAGGGGCCUUAGCCGCUCAGCAGCCAAAGAUUGCGCUGCAGGGGAGGUCAAGAUUCCCCAGACCUGAGG
Molecule: non-coding RNA, 2000 nt
Organism: Manis javanica (Malayan pangolin)
Lineage: Eukaryota; Metazoa; Chordata; Mammalia; Pholidota; Manidae
Source: RefSeq, a predicted model, not a curated record